RNAcentral lists this long non-coding RNA (291 nucleotides) under Musa acuminata (dwarf banana). RNAcentral's name for it is "long non-coding RNA (MACU_LNC011718)". Lineage: Eukaryota; Viridiplantae; Streptophyta; Magnoliopsida; Zingiberales; Musaceae. The record is from RNAcentral.
GUUUGCAUUAUGUAAAUGGCAAGAAUAAAAUGCAAACCAGAGAAGACGGUAGUUUAUAGUGGUUCGGUCAAUCGUGACCUACAUCCACUCCUCUGAUUCCUCUUCCGUCGAGGCCACCGGCAUCCACUAAUGAUCUUCCUUUACUAGGCGAAGAUCAACCUCCUUCUUACACCCCUCUUACAACCUCUUACAAGUGGUUCACCCUUUUACAAAGAUUUCAAUGAAAAGAAAGGAGGUGAACACUCAAGCUAUUGAAAACAAGACUUUUCCUAAAGCUUUUCUCAACUUCUA